UACAGAGGUCUCAAGCGUUGUUCGGAUUUAUUGGGCGUAAAGGGUGCGUAGGCGGCGCGGUAAGUCGGGUGUGAAAUCUUGGAGCUUAACUCCGAAACUGCAUUCGAUACUGCCGUGCUUGAGGACUGGAGAGGAGACUGGAAUUUACGGUGUAGCGGUGAAAUGCGUAGAUAUCGUAAGGAAGACCAGUGGCGAAGGCGGGUCUCUGGACAGUUCCUGACGCUGAAGCACGAAGGCCAGGGGAGCAAACGGG
RNAcentral lists this ribosomal RNA (253 nucleotides) under uncultured bacterium. RNAcentral's name for it is "partial 16S ribosomal RNA". It matches the Rfam family "Bacterial small subunit ribosomal RNA", at positions 524 to 776 of the family's 1533-position model. The record is from RNAcentral.